GAAGCCUUUUCAGCCUCCAGGCAUGUCCCCACCUGCCUCACAGCCACCGACGCAUCUCACGGCGGGGGUCUAAUUGCGUGCGCGUAUGGAUGCUCCUUUCCCCGCCGCCUUUCUAACAACUAGUUACUGUUAUGAUGUAUCGUUGGUCCGGCGUACGACGGCGCCUGAUGCGAUUUAUGCGUCCGGAAGCCCUUUCAGCCUCCAGGCGUGUCCCCACCUGCCUCACAGCCACCGACGCAUCUCACGGCGGGGGUCUAAUUGCGUGCGCGUAAGGAUGCUCCUAUUCCUGCCGCCUUUCUAGCAACUAGUUACUGUUAUGAUGCAUCGUUGGUCCGGCGUACGACGGCGCCUGGU
Molecule: long non-coding RNA, 354 nt
Filed under: Volvox carteri
Lineage: Eukaryota; Viridiplantae; Chlorophyta; Chlorophyceae; Chlamydomonadales; Volvocaceae
Description: long non-coding RNA (VCAR_LNC004233)
Source: RNAcentral